GACGAACGCUGGCGGCGUGCCUAAUACAUGCAAGUCGAACGGUCCAAGGUCGAAGGUUUACCUUUGAUGAUUGGAUAGUGGCGAACGGGUGAGUAACACGUAGGUAACCUGCCUGUAAGACUGGGAUAACUGGCGGAAACGUCAGCUAAAACCGGAUAGGUCAACAGAUCACUUGAUGUGUUGAAGAAAGGGGGUUCGGUUUCGAACUCACACUUACAGAUGGGCCUGCGGCGCAUUAGCUAGUUGGUGAGGUAAGAGCUCACCAAGGCGACGAUGCGUAGCCGACCUGAGAGGGUGAACGGCCACACUGGGACUGAGACACGGCCCAGACUCCUACGGGAGGCAGCAGUAGGGAAUCUUCCGCAAUGGACGAAAGUCUGACGGAGCAACGCCGCGUGAGUGAGGAAGGUUUUCGGAUCGUAAAGCUCUGUUGCCAGGGAAGAACAGGCGGUUGUUAACUGCAGCCGCUGUGACGGUACCUGAGAAGAAAGCCCCGGCUAACUACGUGCCAGCAGCCGCAGUAAGA
Molecule: ribosomal RNA, 526 nt
Filed under: uncultured bacterium
Lineage: Bacteria
Description: bacterial SSU rRNA
Rfam family: Bacterial small subunit ribosomal RNA
Source: RNAcentral